RNAcentral lists this ribosomal RNA (210 nucleotides) under uncultured bacterium. RNAcentral describes it as "partial 16S ribosomal RNA". It matches the Rfam family "Bacterial small subunit ribosomal RNA", at positions 524 to 733 of the family's 1533-position model. The record is from RNAcentral.
UACAGAGGUCUCAAGCGUUGUUCGGAUUCAUUGGGCGUAAAGGGUGCGUAGGUGGCGCCGUAAGUCGGGUGUGAAAUUUCGGAGCUUAACUCCGAAACUGCAUUCGAUACUGUCCGACUCGAAGGCAGGAGAGGGAAGCGGAAUUCCCGGUGUAGUGGUGAAAUGCGUAGAUAUCGGGAGGAACACCAGUGGCGAAGGCGGCUUUCUGGC